This 468-nucleotide ribosomal RNA is filed under the name uncultured bacterium. RNAcentral's name for it is "partial 16S ribosomal RNA". It matches the Rfam family "Bacterial small subunit ribosomal RNA", at positions 28 to 507 of the family's 1533-position model. The record is from RNAcentral.
GACGAACGCUGGCGGCGUGCUUAAUACAUGCAAGUCGAACGGAAAUGCUUUGUUAUUGUGGGGUGCUAGAGUCGGAAACGGAUGUGUAACACGAAAGUAACCUGCCCUUGACUUUGGGCUAACCUCAGGAAACUGGGGCCACUACCGGACAGGAGCUCCUGCUGCAUAACGAGGGUUGGAAAGUGGUGGCGGUUGGAGAUGGAGUUGCGGCUUAUCAGCUUGAUGGUGGGGUAGCGGCUUACCAAGGCUUUGGUGGGUAGCCGGCCUGAGAGGGUGACCGGGGCCAUUGGGACUGAGAUAGGCCGCAGAAGCCUACGGGAGGCAGCAGGGGGGAACAUUGCGCAGUGAGCGGGAGCCUGUGGAAGAGACCCUGGGUGCGGAAUGACGGCCUGUGGGUUAUAAACCGGCGUCGCCUGAGACGAACAGUGAGUGACGGUAAUGAGUAAAGAAGCACCGGCUAACUACGUG